UGGCUGCGUGGAAAUUUUUUAGUAAAUCAUUUUGAUGUUCAGCCACUUUGUUUUGCUUUUGAUACUUUAUACUCCGAAAUGAUAUUGACUCAACCCUUGAUAUCUAGCUUCCAGAACAAGAAACCACUUGUUCCCUUGGACUAAAUCCGGAACGGUAAAUUUCAUAUGAAUAUAAUAUCAAAAUCUUGGAAUAAUUCAAGGUUACAUAGCCUAUAAACUAAAACAUAUAUGAUUAAGACACAUUGAAAAUGUCAAUCAAGAAAUGGCACACGAACAAAAGAAUUUAGAACUUACAACAGCAAGCAUAGCCCAUCUGCAGUGAAUGAGUUCAGACUCCUUGUAUCUCUCAAGGUUCUCAGGAACUUCGCCAAGCCGAAGUGGGUCAAAUCCAAAGUCCCUGGAACAAAGAAACACAAGCACACAACAAAAACAUUAGCAACAAAAAUUUACGUGCUAUGGCAGCCAGCUAGUUCAACUGGUAAAAUAUUCUAAAUGCUUGCUUGCUU
This 506-nucleotide long non-coding RNA is filed under the name Citrus sinensis (sweet orange). RNAcentral's name for it is "long non-coding RNA (CSIN_LNC003225)". Lineage: Eukaryota; Viridiplantae; Streptophyta; Magnoliopsida; Sapindales; Rutaceae. The record is from RNAcentral.